RNAcentral lists this ribosomal RNA (525 nucleotides) under uncultured bacterium. RNAcentral's name for it is "bacterial SSU rRNA". It matches the Rfam family "Bacterial small subunit ribosomal RNA", at positions 8 to 526 of the family's 1533-position model. The record is from RNAcentral.
AGGGUUCGAUUAUGGCUCAGGAUGAACGCUAGCGGCACGCUUCAUACAUGCAAGUCGAGGGGCAGCAUAAAGUACUUGUACUUUGAUGGCGACCGGCGAACGGGUGCGUAACGCGUAUGCAACUUACCUUUUACUAGAGAAUAGCCAAGAGAAAUUUUGAUUAAUGCUCUAUACUCUUUUUAACUCACAUGAGUUUUUAAGAAAAGCUCCGGCGGUAAAAGAUGGGCAUGCGUCCUAUUAGCUUGUAGGUGAGGUAACGGCUCACCUAAGCUCCGAUAGGUAGGGGUCCUGAGAGGGAGAUCCCCCACACUGGUACUGAGACACGGACCAGACUUCUACGGAAGGCAGCAGUAAGGAAUAUUGGACAAUGGAGGAAACUCUGAUCCAGCGAUGCCGCGUGAAGGAAGACGGCCCUAUGGGUUGUAAACUUCUUUUAUACAGGAAGAAACCUUUCCACGUGUGGAAAGCUGACGGUACUGUAAGAAUAAGGAUCGGCUAACUCCGUGCCAGCAGCCGCGGUAAUAC